RNAcentral lists this ribosomal RNA (465 nucleotides) under uncultured bacterium. Its description in RNAcentral is "bacterial SSU rRNA". It matches the Rfam family "Bacterial small subunit ribosomal RNA", at positions 917 to 1382 of the family's 1533-position model. The record is from RNAcentral.
GGGCCCGCACAAGCGGAGGAACAUGUGGUUUAAUUCGAUGAUACGCGAGGAACCUUACCCGGGCUUGAAAUGCAUCUGACGUGGGCAGAGACGCCCAUUCCCCUCGGGGCAGAUGUGUAGGUGCUGCAUGGUUGUCGUCAGCUCGUGCCGUGAGGUGUCGGCUUAAGUGCCAUAACGAGCGCAACCCUCAUCAUUAGUUACCAUCAGGUGAAGCUGGGGACUCUAAUGAGACUGCCAUCGUAAGAUGCGAGGAAGGUGGGGAUGACGUCAAAUCAGCACGGCCCUUACGUCCGGGGCGACACACGUGUUACAAUGGGUGGUACAAAGGGCAGCUACAUGGCGACAUGAUGCUAAUCUCCAAAACCGCUCUCAGUUCGGAUCGGAGUCUGCAACUCGACUCCGUGAAGCUGGAUUCGCUAGUAAUCGCGCAUCAGCCACGGCGCGGUGAAUACGUUCCCGGGCCUU